CCUACGGGUGGCAGCAGUGAGGAAUAUUGGUCAAUGGACGGAAGUCUGAACCAGCCAUGCCGCGUGCAGGAAGACGGCUCUAUGAGUUGUAAACUGCUUUUGUACAAGGGUAAACCUGAAUACGUGUAUUCAGCUGAAAGUACUGUACGAAUAAGGAUCGGCUAACUCCGUGCCAGCAGCCGCGGUAAUACGGAGGAUCCAAGCGUUAUCCGGAUUUAUUGGGUUUAAAGGGUGCGUAGGCGGAUUGAUAAGUUAGAGGUGAAAUGUCCGAGCUUAACUCGGAAACUGCCUCUAAUACUGUUGGUCUAGAGAGUAGAUGCGGUAGGCGGAAUGUAUGGUGUAGCGGUGAAAUGCUUAGAGAUCAUACAGAACACCGAUUGCGAAGGCAGCUUACCAAUCUAUAUCUGACGUUGAGGCACGAAAGCGUGGGGAGCAAACAGGAUUAGAUACCCGUGUAGUC
RNAcentral lists this ribosomal RNA (460 nucleotides) under uncultured bacterium. RNAcentral describes it as "partial 16S ribosomal RNA". It matches the Rfam family "Bacterial small subunit ribosomal RNA", at positions 338 to 795 of the family's 1533-position model. The record is from RNAcentral.